This 331-nucleotide ribosomal RNA is filed under the name uncultured bacterium. RNAcentral describes it as "bacterial SSU rRNA". It matches the Rfam family "Bacterial small subunit ribosomal RNA", at positions 568 to 898 of the family's 1533-position model. The record is from RNAcentral.
CGUGUAGGCGGCUCAUCAAGUCUGGUGUGAAAAACGCAAGGCUUAACCUUGCAUAGGCGCUGGAAACUGGUGGGCUUGAGUUCCUGAGGGGAAGCUGGAAUUCCAGGUGUAGGGGUGAAAUCUGUAGAUAUCUGGAAGAACACCGGUGGCGAAGGCGAGCUUCUAUCAGAGGACUGACGCUGAGGCGCGAAAGCGUGGGGAGCAAACAGGAUUAGAUACCCUGGUAGUCCACGCUGUAAACGAUGUGCACUAGGCGUGGGGCCCGUACGGGUUCUGUGCCGUAGUUAACGUGUUAAGUGCACCGCCUGGGGAGUAUGCUCGCAAGGGUGAA